AUUGAACGCUGGCGGCAGGCCUAACACAUGCAAGUCGAGCGGAUGAAGGGAGCUUGCUCCUGGAUUCAGCGGCGGACGGGUGAGUAAUGCCUAGGAAUCUGCCUGGUAGUGGGGGAUAACGUCCGGAAACGGGCGCUAAUACCGCAUACGUCCUGAGGGAGAAAGUGGGGGAUCUUCGGACCUCACGCUAUCAGAUGAGCCUAGGUCGGAUUAGCUAGUUGGUGGGGUAAAGGCCUACCGAGGCGACGAUCCGUAACUGGUCUGAGAGGAUGAUCAGUCACACUGGAACUGAGACACGGUCCAGACUCCUACGGGAGGCAGCAGUGGGGAAUAUUGGACAAUGGGCGAAAGCCUGAUCCAGCCAUGCCGCGUGUGCGAAGAAGGUCUUCGGAUUGUAAAGCACUUUAAGUUGGGAGGAAGGGCAGUAAGUUAAUACCUUGCUGUUUUGACGUUACCAACAGAAUAAGCACCGGCUAACUUCGUG
Molecule: ribosomal RNA, 484 nt
Filed under: uncultured bacterium
Lineage: Bacteria
Description: partial 16S ribosomal RNA
Rfam family: Bacterial small subunit ribosomal RNA
Source: RNAcentral